Molecule: ribosomal RNA, 698 nt
Filed under: Staphylococcus aureus
Lineage: Bacteria; Bacillati; Bacillota; Bacilli; Caryophanales; Staphylococcaceae
Description: partial 23S ribosomal RNA
Rfam family: Bacterial large subunit ribosomal RNA
Source: RNAcentral
CCUGAAACCGUGUGCUUACAAGUAGUCAGAGCCCGUUAAUGGGUGAUGGCGUGCCUUUUGUAGAAUGAACCGGCGAGUUACGAUUUGAUGCAAGGUUAAGCAGUAAAUGUGGAGCCGUAGCGAAAGCGAGUCUGAAUAGGGCGUUUAGUAUUUGGUCGUAGACCCGAAACCAGGUGAUCUACCCUUGGUCAGGUUGAAGUUCAGGUAACACUGAAUGGAGGACCGAACCGACUUACGUUGAAAAGUGAGCGGAUGAACUGAGGGUAGCGGAGAAAUUCCAAUCGAACCUGGAGAUAGCUGGUUCUCUCCGAAAUAGCUUUAGGGCUAGCCUCAAGUGAUGAUUAUUGGAGGUAGAGCACUGUUUGGACGAGGGGCCCCUCUCGGGUUACCGAAUUCAGACAAACUCCGAAUGCCAAUUAAUUUAACUUGGGAGUCAGAACAUGGGUGAUAAGGUCCGUGUUCGAAAGGGAAACAGCCCAGACCACCAGCUAAGGUCCCAAAAUAUAUGUUAAGUGGAAAAGGAUGUGGCGUUGCCCAGACAACUAGGAUGUUGGCUUAGAAGCAGCCAUCAUUUAAAGAGUGCGUAAUAGCUCACUAGUCGAGUGACACUGCGCCGAAAAUGUACCGGGGCUAAACAUAUUACCGAAGCUGUGGAUUGUCCUUUGGACAAUGGUAGGAGAGCGUUCUAAGGGCGUUGA